This 187-nucleotide non-coding RNA is filed under the name bacterium. RNAcentral's name for it is "6S RNA". It matches the Rfam family "6S / SsrS RNA". Rfam says of the family: E. coli 6S RNA was the first non coding RNA to be sequenced, but its function was unknown until recently. It consists of 184 nucleotides that fold into an extended hairpin structure with a large single-stranded internal bulge. The 6S RNA specifically associates with RNA polymerase holoenzyme containing the sigma70 specificity factor. The record is from RNAcentral.
UUGGCCCUGCAGUGUUCGCGAGGGGAUUUUUAUCUUCUUGGGUCAAACCUAUUAAAAGGGAUUCCUUCUAUCGGGAUUGAAUGUAAAGCGUGUCAGUGCCGUUUAUCAGGAUUCCUCGAUGCGGAAACCCACUUGAACAUUAACGGUUCAAGAGGAUAUUUCUCCAGACGGCACGUGCGGGGCCUUU